Molecule: long non-coding RNA, 13922 nt
Filed under: Ananas comosus (pineapple)
Lineage: Eukaryota; Viridiplantae; Streptophyta; Magnoliopsida; Poales; Bromeliaceae
Description: long non-coding RNA (ACOM_LNC005771)
Source: RNAcentral
AAAAGCAAGAGAAAAGAAAAACAAAAAAAAGAAAAAGAAAAAGAAAAAGAAAAUUUUUUGUUCAUCCCCCCCUUCUCCUGCCGUGCAUCAGCAACAAAGGGAGGGGGCGUGCUCACAGCACACCCCCCAAUCCGUACACAAAAGAACAAAGAAAGAAAGUCGUCUCUUUCAUUUUGCGGCGGCGCGACGAUGACGACGACGACGACGACGACGACUUCGACAACGGCGGCUGUGACGACUUCGACGACGACAACGGUGUGCGAGGAGGCCUCAUGACCUCCUCUUUCUUCUUCUUCUCCGACGACGGCCGAUUGGUGUAUACGUGCAAACGUAUAGUCACGAUUUAUUUGUUGGUUUGAUCAACACGACCGUCUUCAUGAUAGCUUGACCCGAUCAAAUCCGGCAUUGGAUCGUUACUAUAUCGUACGCACGUAUUCACUAAACGUCCGUCUCCUCAACAUCGACGAAAGAUUUACACGAGCGUGCGAAUGACGCGACGACGAACCUCCAACCGAUUUGAUUGUGCGGCCGUCUUCGUGAUAGGCUCGACACUCUCAAAUCUAAAAAAAAAUGAUAAUAAAAUAAAAUAAGAUAAUAAAAUAAAUAUUUGGAUCGCCGUCUUCGUGAUAGGCUAGAUCCAAUUUGACAUAAACCGGGUCGCCGUCUUCGUGAUAGGCUUGACCCGAGUCCGAUUAAUUGAGCCGGGUCGCCGUCUUCGUGAUAGGCUUGACCUGAGUCCGGUUAAUUAAACCGGGUCACCGUCUUCGUGAUAGGCUUGACCUGAGUUCGGUUCAAAUAAACCGGAUCGCCGUCUUCGUGAUAGGCUUGACCCGAGUUCGGUUAAUUAAACCGGGUCGCCGUCUUAGUGAUUGGCUUGACCCGAGUUCGGCUAAUUAAACCGGGUCGCCGUCUUCGUGAUAGGCUUGACCCGAGUUCGGCUCAAUUAGACCGUGUUGUCGUCUUCGUGAUAGGCUUGACCCGAGCGAGCCAAGCCAUAAUGAUAAAUCAAAUCGGACGAUAAGCCGAUCCAAUCUAACCGGUCUAAUUUUAAUUGAGUCUCAUACCAAUCAAAAAUUGAACCAUUAAAGAUAUUAACCAAACCAAACCAAAUUACAAGUCGGUUCAGCUUAAACCGAACCAUAAGGGAUUCGACUUGAACUAAAGUGAGUCCGAUCUGAACUGAACCGAACCGGAUCUGAUCUGAAUCGAACCACAAAGGAUUCAACUUGAACCAAAGUGAAUCCGAUCUGAACCGAACCGAAUAGGAUUUGACUUGAACCACUCGGACCGAAUCCGGUCCAAUCCGAUCAGAACUAUAAAGGAUCCGACUCGAACCGAAAUGAGUCCAAUCCGAACCGAACAGGAUUCGACUUGAAUCAAAGUGAACCCGAUCUGAACUAAACCGAACCGGAUCAGAACCAAACCAAAUCUGGUCCGAACUGAACAAGAUUCAACUUAAACCAAAGUAAACCCCGAUCUGAACUAAACCGAACCAAUCUGAACCAAACCAGAUCCGGUCCGAAUCGAAUGAGAUUCAACUUGAAUCAAACCAAACUGAACUAAACCGGAUCCGAACCGAGCCAGAUCUGGUCCGAACUGAACCAUAAAGGAUUCAACUUAAACCAAAGUGAAUUUGAUCUGAAUUGAACCAAACCGGAUCCUAUCUGAACCGAACCACAAAGGGUCCUACUCGGACCAAAGUGGCUCUAAUCCGAACCAAACUAUGAAAGAUUCGAAUCGAAUUGAAGUAGGUCCGAUCCAAACCAAAUCAUGAAGGAUUCGACUCGAAUUGAAAUGGGUCCGAUCCGAACCAAAUCAUAAAGGGUCCAACCUGAACCGAAGUGGUCCGAUCCGAACCAAAUCAUGAAGGAUUCGACUCCAAUUGAAGUGGGUCCGAUCCGAACCAAACCAUGAAGGAUCCGACCCGAACCGAAGUGGUCCGAUCCGAACCAAACCAUGAAGGAUUCGACUCGAAUUGAAGUGGGUCCGAUCCAAACCAAGUCAUGAAGGAUCCGACCCGAACCGAAGUGGUCCGAUCCGAACCAAACCAUGAAAGAUUCGACUCGAAUUGAAGUCGGUCCGAUCCAAACCAAGCCGUAGAGGAUCCGACUAGAACCGAAGUGGGUCUGAUCUGAACCCAACUGUAAAGAAUCCAACUCGAACCGAGGAGGGUCCGAUCUGAACUGAACUGAACCGAACUGGAUCCGAACCGAACCAAAUCCUGUCUGAACCGAACCGAACAAGAUUCAACUUAAACCAAAGCGAAUCCGAUCAGAACUGAACCGAACCGGAUCCGAACCAAACCAGAUCCUAUCUAAACCGAGCCGAAUGGGAUUCAACUUGAACUAAAGUGAAUCCGAUCCAAAAUGAUCCGAACAGGAUCCGAACCGAACCGGAUCCUGUCUAAACCGAACCGAACAGGAUUCAACUUGAACUAAAGUGGAUCCGAUCCAUACUGAACCGAACCGGAUCCUGUCUGAACCAAGCCGUAGAGGAUCCGACUCGAACCAAAGUGGGUCCGAUUCGAACUCAACCGUAAAGAAUCCAACUCAAACCAAGUCUUGAUGGUUCCCGAGCCAAAGCAUAACGGUUCAACCCAAACCAAGUCUUGAUGGGUCUCGAAUCAAAGCAUAGCGGUUCAACCCAAACCAAAUCCAAAGCGACCAAAUGAACUUAAGGCCGCCCAACUCAAACCAAGUCUUGAUGGGUACCGAACCAAAGCAUAACGGGUCAACCCAAACCAAGUCUUGAUGGGUCUCGAACCAAAGUAUAACGGUUCAGCCCAAACCAAAUCCAAAGCGACCAAAUGAACUUAAGGUCGCCCAACUCAAACCAAGUCUUGAUGGGUCCCGAACCAAAGCAUAACGGUUCAACCCAAACCAAGUCUUCAUAGGUCUCGAACCAAAGUAUAACAGUUCAACCCAAACCAAAUCCAAAGCGACCAAAGAAACUUAAGGUCGCCCAACUCAAACCAAGUCUUGAUGGGUCCCGAACCAAAACAUAACGGUUCAUCCCAUAUCAAAUACAAGAGGUUUAAGCCAACCAAAACCCAAAGUCCACAAAUAAAUCCCAAAACCAAAGUCCACAAAUAAAUCCCAAAACCAAAGUCCACAAAUAAAUUCCAAAACCAAAAUCCACAAAUAAAUCCCAAAAUCCAAAGUCCACAAAUAAAUCCCAAGACCUAAAGUCCACAAAUAAAACCCCAAAAUCCAAAGCAUCUCAAAUCUAAACGACAGAAACGUCGUUAAACUAAACCCAAAUUCAAACGAUCGAAAAGUCGUUAAACUAAACCCAAAUCCAAACGACCGAAACGUCGUUAAACUAAACCCAAAUUCAAACGACCGAAAAGUCGUUAAACUAAGCCCAAAUUCAAACGACCGAAAAGUCGUUAAACUAAACCAAAAUCAAACGACCGAAAAGUCAUUAAACUAAACCCAAAAUCAAACGACCGUAAAGUCGUUAAACUAAACCCAAAUACAAACGACCGUACAGUCGUUAAACUAAACCCAAAAUCAAACGACCGUAAAGUCGUUAAACUAAACCCAAGUUCAUCAUGAACAUUUUUUACUCUAGCACAUAUGCCUAGAGUGAAAAUUAAAUAUUUACUACCCCUAAUACAUAUACUUAGGGCUAAGUCGAUCGCCUUAGCACAUAUAACUAAGGCAAAACAUCUCCAAAUCGACAGAGUUCUAAGCCAUAUAUUUAGAAUUCAGUCAAAUGAUAUCAAGUUUAUUCGAACUCUAACACAUAUACUUAGAAUUCAUCCGACUAACCCUAACACAUAUCCUUAGGGUCCAGUCAGCCUUUUGCUCUAGCACAUAUAGCUAGAGUGGAAGUCAAAUCAUGCUCGACUAGUCCUAACACAUAUCCUUAGGAUCUUGUUAGCUUUUUGCUCUAGCACAUAUACCUAGAGUGGAAGUCAAACCAUACUUGACUAGUCCUAACCUAUAUAUUUUGGGUCUAGUCAGUCUUUUGCUCUAGCACAUAUACCUAGAGUGGAAGUCAAAUCAUGCUCGACUAGUCCUAACCCAUAUACUUAGGGUCUAGUCAGCCUUUUGCUCUAGCACAUAUACCUAGAAUGAAAGUCAAUCUGUGCUCGACUAGUCCUAACCCAUAUACUUAGGGUCUAGUCAGCCUUUUGCUCUAGCACAUAUACCUAGAGUGAAAUCCAUACCAGAUCGAGCUCUAAUACAUAUACUUGGAGCUCAUACGAAUCAAUUCCGACAAACCCUAACGCAAUACCUUAGGGCUUAGUCAGAUCUUCACUCUAGCACAUAUAACUAGAGUGAAAACAUAUUAAACUCGGUUAAUCCUGAUCCAUACACUCAGGAAUUAGCCACUUUCUACUUUCUGGUAAUAUCAAAUCUGAUCUACCUCAAUAUAUAUACUUGGAGUUUGGUCACAUCUCCACCUUGGAAUAUACAACAAAGGUGAACCCGACCGCCAUGUCAUUAAACUGAGCUGCAAACUUAAACCGACCGCAAUGUAUUAUAAAAUUCAUGUACAGUGGAGGUAUGCCCCUGCUUAAGCCAUGUACACGGUAAAUCAUAUUAAUAAAAUUUUAUUUUCCUGUUUUGUCUCCUUUAUUAUCAGCAUUUAUAAUUGGUCUCUUAAUCGAGGGUUCCUUAACACCGAAAGUGUGGGGUAAUUAACAGCAGAUUCUUGAGUCUGUUGGAAGUCAUGAACCUAUAAUCCUGAUUUCAAAAUAAAACUUAAGUAAACUCAACCUCUACCAUGAAUGACCACUCGCCUUAGAAACAACCUACGGCUGGGCCGAUUCGUUCGCGGUAGACAAAAUGGCACGCCCGGUGGGACAUGGCUUCACCCUCCAUUUUUUAGACCAAAUCCAAUAAUGCUGAUAAGAGACUUAUGUAUAAACAUUUGACCGAUAAAUAUGGCUUUAUCCAAGCGGAGCAAUCCAAUCGAACAACAUCGCCUUGAUCGAGACGAAAGAAGCAUGUCGGUUAUCCUCCAAUAUGGCAUCACCACAAAGGGUGUUUUGUCUACCAUCAUGUCUUGCUCUGCCGGUCAAAUCAUCAGGGGGCAGGACGAUUCUUGCUGACAAUCGUCGUCUUCUCCCUCCGAACAUCAUAUCUUGGCUAUUCGUUGCCAAGAGGAGCAAUGGCUUCAAUCAAUACCACAUUCUCUACCUCAGUGGAGAUCAAAGCGAGAAAUUUUGAUUUUCCUCCAAUAUGGCAUUACCACAGAGGACGUUCUGGCUACCACCAUAUCCUGAUCUGCCGCUUAAGUCAUCAGGGGGCAAGAUUAUUCUGACAGACAAUAGUGGUCUUCUCCCUCUCAAUAUCAUAUCUUGGCUAUUCGUUGCCAAGAGGAGCAAUGGCUUCAAUCAAUACCACAUUCUCUCUCUCGGUGGAGAUCAAAGCGAGAAAUUUCAAUUUUCCUCCAAUAUGGCAUCACCACAGAGGACGUUCUAGCUACCGCCAUGUCCUGAUCUGCCGCUUAAGUCAUCAGGGGGCAAGAUUAUUCUGGCUGACAAUCGUGGUCUUCUCCCUCUCAACAUCAUAUCUUGGUUAUUCGUUGCCAAGAGGAGCAAUGGCUUCCAACAACACCACAUUCUCUACCUCGAUUGAGAUCAAAGCGAAAGGAAUUCUGAUCUGCCGCUCAAGUCAUUAGGGGGGAGGACGAUUCUUACUGACGAUUGUGGUCUCCUCCCUCCCGAUGUCAUAUCUUGGUUAUUCAUCAAGGACAGUCAGUCCUCCAUCCUUCUGAAGAUAUCAGUUCAUUCUCCUUUCGAUUUGGUAACAUCACGGAGAAUGUUCUGAUCACUGGCUUGCUGCUUAAGUCGUCAGGGGGCAAGACGACUUACACAAACAAUCAUGGUCCUUUAUCUUCUAAUUCGAUAAAGGCACCACAAUAUAAUUAAUCCCAAAACCUUUGCACCCUACGAGUGCGCCCUAACUAUUAGUCAUGUGGGGAACAAACAGAAUAGGGAACACUCCUUUAUUUUGGAGCCAUAUAUACAUUCUUGCCCCGGGGGGAAUAGCUUUGCUUUUAUUACAAUAUAUUAUCUUUCUAGAUGGGAUAAAGUUGAUCCUUUGCCAAAAUAAAAAAAAUAAAAAAAAUUCAAAAGAAAAUAAAAAAAAAAGAAAAAAAAGAGAGCAAAAAAAAAGAAAGCAAAAAAAAAGGCAAAAAAAAAGCAAAAAAAAAGAAAAAAAAAGCAAAAAAAAAAGAGCAAAAAAAAGAGCAAAAAAAAAAGCAAAAAGAAAUUAAAAAAAAAGCAAAAAGAAAAAAAAAGAAAGAGAAGAGAAAAAAAUAUCUCCCAGAGCCCCGCUGUGAAAUAACCUACUUUAGGCUCACACACAAAAAUUAGGGAAAUGCUUUUGGCUAGGACCCUCUCGCGGGCGCCAACUGUCAUAAUAAAAUAAUAAAAAUUUCGCAGACGAUGGAAUGCUGAUUCAUCCCUACACGACAACAACGAUACAUCAGAUUGUUUCAAAAAGAAAAGAGCAAAAAAAAAAAAAGAAAAGAAAAAAAAAAGAAGUCAUCUUAGAGGGUUUUGCUUAACUGCAUGUGGAGAUGCCCUUUGCCCUCCUAUCCCAUUUUGAGGACACACAUAUAUGUAAUAUUGAAGAGUUUAGGAGAGUUUUAUCAACCGCAUGAGAUGAUCACCCCUUUCCCUCCCGUCCCCUUUUUUUGAAAUCCUACAGAUAUGCCAUUCUAAGGAGAUCUUAUAGGGACUUUCCUAACCACAUGUAAAGAUGCAUGUAUCCCGACAAUCUGACUUUGAAGAUCUACAGACGAAGGCUCAAAAUAAGUCAUCCUAUACAGAGCUUGAUUCAACUCAUUCUCUAUCAAAAACUUCUGGUUGAAGAAAUGCAGCUCUAAGGUGGCCUUUGAUCAAAGGGUAUACAAGCAUGUCAACUUACCAACGCGAUCCAUGUCCAGAAAAAAAGAACUUGUCGAGUGCAAUUUUAAUGCCCAAUCCAAUUUGGGUGCCAUGACGAAAAUGUCAGUGAAUCGUGCUCAUUUGAAUUGGCCCAUAACGAAGCGACAAAGUUAUGAUAUCAUGAAUAUGGCCUUACAUUCAUUGUGCCCGAUCAAUGAACCAAUACUAUGCUCACCAUGUUGAUCGAAUAUGCUAUUUAUAUAUGGCGAGCAAUGAGAUGGAGUUUGUUAUUAUGCUCAUCAAGAUUGUAGUUCGUCGGGGUGCAUUUUUCAUACAUGAGAAUAAGAAUGUCUCCUGAAAUUUUGAUCAUCCGAUGGAAAAAAUAUACACUCAUACUAUGUCAGAUGGAACGAUAUUGGUCUUAGAGUACCGGGACUCAACUCUAAAGCAUUCGAGGGAAGUUUCCACUUGCCAUCGACAGCAACAUCUUCUCAAGAGACAUUAAGAGACAUUAACAUAGCAGAACCAUCCCGGGAGUGCUAGGUUACAUCACUCUUUACAAAAGAAAAUGAUGAAUUCUUGAGACUGCACCUUUUCCCGCUCGCAUAGCACUCGCAGAAAAAAUGUGGGGUCACUUUGUUGGGAUCAAAAAAUUUUGAAAUUUGAAAUUCAAAUUGAGAAUAUAGAAGGAAGGGGAUAAAAUGAAUUGAGGUGAUUAAUAGUUGCCAUAGAUGACCAACUACUAAAAGGAAAAGAAAUAAAAAUAUAUUGUUACCUUAUUUUUAAAAAUAUUUGAAUUGUUGCCCAAAAUGAAGAGGUCCAAAAAAACCACUAUAAAUUGGACCAUGAGAUUCAAAAAUAAAUUCUCUGAGAGAGAGGGGGAAAAAAAAAAGAAACAAAAAGAAACAAAAAAAAGCAAAAAAAAAAGAGAAAAGAAGAACAAAAAAAAGAAAAAGAAAAAGAAAAAGAAAAUCUUUUGUUCAUCCCCCCCAUUCUCUUGCCGUGCAUCAGCAACAAAGGGAGGGGGUGUGCUCACAGCACACCCCCCAAUCCGUACACAAAAGAACAAAGAAAGAAAGUCGUCUCUUUCAUUUUGCGGCGGCGCGGCGACGACAACGACAACGACGACUUCGACAACGGCGGCUGUGACGACUUCGACGACGACAACGGUGUGCAAGGAGGCCUCAUGACCUCCUCUUUCUUCUUCUUCCCCGACGACGGCGGAUUGGUGUAUACGUGCAAAUGUAUAGUCACGAUUUAUUUGUUGGUUUGAUCAACACGACUGUCUUCGUUUUAGGUUGACCCGAUCAAAUCCGGCAUUGGAUCGUUACUAUAUCGUACGCACGUAUUCACUAAACGUCCAUCUCCUCAACAUCGACGAAAGAUUUACACGAGCGUGCGAAUGACGCGACGACGAACCUCCAACCGAUUUGAUUGUGCGGCCGUUUUCGUGAUAGGCUCGACACGCUCAAAUCUCAAAAAAAAUAAAUGAUAAUAAAAUAAAAUAAGAUAAUAAAAUAAAUAUUUGAAUUGCCGUCUUCGUGAUAGGCUAGAUCCAAUUUGACAUAAACCGGGUCGCUGUCUUCGUGAUAGGCUUGACCCGAGUCCGAUUAAUUGAGACGGGUCGCCGUCUUCGUGAUAGGCUUGACCCGAGUCCGGUUAAUUAAACCGGGUCGCCAUCUUCGUGAUAGGCUUGACCCGAGUUCGGUUAAUUAAACCGGGUCGCCGUCUUCGUGAUAGGCUUGACCCGAGUUCGGUUAAUUAAAUCGGGUCGCCGUCUUAGUGAUUGGCUUGACCCGAGUUCGGCUAAUUAAACCGGGUCGCCGUCUUCGUGAUAGGCUUGACCCGAGUUCGGCUCAAUUAGACCGGGUCGCCGUCUUCGUGAUAGGCUUGACCCGGACGAGCCAAGCCAUAAUGAUAAAUGAAAUCGGACGAUAAGCCGAUCCAAUCUAAUUGACGGGUCUAAUUAAAAUCGAGUCUCAUACCAUUCAAAAAUUGAAUCAUUAAAGAUAUUAACCAAACCAAACCAAAUUACAAGCCGGUUCAGCUUAAACUGAACCAUAAGGGAUUCGACUUGAAUUAAAGUGAAUCCGAUCUGAUCUGAACCGAACCGGAUCUGGUCUGAACCGAACCACAAAGGAUUCAACUUGAACCAAAGUGAAUCCGAUCUGAACCGAACCGAAUAGGAUUUGACUUGAACCGACUCGGACCGAAUCCGGUCCAAUCCAAUCAGAACCAUAAAGGAUACGACUCAAAUUGAAAUGAGUCCAAUCCGAACCGAACAGGAUUCGACUUGAAUCAAAGUGAACCCGAUCUGAACUAAACCGAACCGGAUCCGAACCAAACUAGAUCUGGUCCGAGCUGAACAAGAUUCAACUUAAACCAAAAUAAACCCCGAUUUGCACUAAACCGAACCAGAUCUGAACCAAACCAGAUUCGGUCCGAAUCGAACAAGAUUCAACUUGAAUCAAACCAAACUGAACUAAACCGGAGCCGAACCGAACCAGAUCUGGUCCGAACUGAACCAUAAAGAAUUCAACUUAAACCAAAGUGAAUUCGAUCUGAACUGAACCAAACCGGAUCCUAUCUGAACCGAACCACAAAGGGUCCGACUCGGACCAAAGUGGCUCCAAUCCGAACCAAACCAUGAAAGAUUCGGCUCGAAUUGAAGUAGGUCCGAUCCAAACCAAAUCAUGAAGGAUUCGACUCGAAUUGAAGUGAGUCCGAUCCGAACCAAAUCAUGAAGGAUCCAACCCGAACCGAAGUGGUCCGAUCUGAACCAAAUCAUGAAGGAUUCGACUCCAAUUGAAGUGGGUCUGAUCCGAACCAAACCAUGAAGGAUCCGACCUGAACCGAAGUGGUCCGAUCUGAACCAAACCAUGAAGGAUUCGAAUCGAAUUGAAGUGGGUUCGAUCCAAACCAAGCCAUGAAGGAUCCGACCCGAACCGAAGUGGUCCAAUCCGAACCAAACCAUGAAGAAUUCGACUCGAAUUGAAGUGGGUCCGAUCCAAACCAAGCCGUAGAGGAUCCGACUCGAACCGAAGUGGUUCCAAUCUGAACCUAACCGUAAAGAAUCCAACUCGAACCGAGGAGGGUCCGAUCUGAACUAAACCGAACCGGAUCCGAACCAAACCAGGUCCUGUCUGAACCGAACCGAACAGGAUUCAACUUAAACCAAAGAGAAUCCGAUCAUAACUGAAUAAACCGGAUUCGAACCAAACCAGAUCCUAUCUAAACUGAGCCGAAUGUGAUUCAACUUGAACUAAAGUGAAUCUGAUCCAAACUGAACCGAACAGGAUCCAAACCAAACUGGGUCCUAUCUAAACCGACCGAACAGGAUUCAACUUGAACUAAAGUUGAUCCGAUCCAUACUGAACCGAACCAGAUCCCGUCUGAACCAAGCAGUAGAGGAUCCAACUCGAACCAAAGUGGGUCCGAUCCGAACUCAACCGUAAAGAAUCCAACUCAAAUCAAGUCUUGAUGGUUCCCGAACCAAAGCAUAACGGUUCAACCCAAACCAAGUCUUGAUGGGUCUCGAAUCAAAGCAUAGCGGUUCAACCCAAACCAAAUCCAAAGCGACCAAAUGAACUUAAGGCCGCCCAACUCAAGCCAAGUCUUGAUGGGUCCCGAACCAAAGCAUAACGGUUCAACCCAAACCAAGUCUUGAUGGGUCUCGAACCAAAGCAUAACGGUUCAACCCAAACUAUAUCCAAAGCGACCAAAGAAACUUAAGGUAACCCAACUCAAACCAAGUAUUGAUGGGUCUCGAACCAAAACAUAACGGUUCAUCCUAAAUCAAAUACAAGAGGUUUAAGCCAACCCAAACCCAAAGUUCACAAAUAAAUCUCAAAACCAAAGUCCACAAAUAAAUUCCAAAACCAAAGUUCAUAAAUAAAUCCCAAAACCAAAGUCCACAAAUAAAUCCCAAAACCAAAAUCCACAAAUAAAUCCCAAAACCCAAAGUCACAAAUAAAUCACAAAACCCAAAGUCCACAAAUAAAAUUUCAAAAUCCAAAACCUCUCAAAUCUAAACGACCGAAACGUCGUUAAACUAAACCCAAAUUCAUACGACCGAAAAGUCGUUAAACUAAAUCCAAAUUCAAACGACCGAAACGUCGUUAAACUAAACCCAAAUUCAAACAACUGAAAUGUCGUUAAACUAAACCCAAAUUCAAACGACCGAAAAGUCGUUAAACUAAACCCAAAUUCAAACGACCGAAAAGUCGUUAAACUAAACCCAAAAUCAAACGACCGAAAAGUCGUUAAACUAAACCCAAUACAAACGAUCGUAUAGUCGUUAAACUAAACCCAAAAUCAAACGACUGUAAAGUCGUUAAACUAAACCCAAGUUCAUCAUGAACCUUUUUUACUCUUGCACAUAUGCCUAGAGUGAAAAUUAAAUAUCGACUACCCGUAAUACAUAUACUUAGGGCUAAGUCGAUCGCCUUAACACAUAUAACUAAGGCAAAACAUCUCCAAAUCGACAGAGUUCUAAGCCAUAUAUUUAGAAUUCAGUCAAAUGAUAUCAAGUUUAUUCGAACUCUAACACUUGUACUUAGAGUUUAUCCGACUAAUCCUAACACAUAUCCUUAGGGUCCAGCCAGCCUUUUGCUCUAGCACAUAUAGCUAGAGUGGAAGUCAAAUCAUGCUCGACUAGUCCUAACACAUAUCCUUAGGAUCUAGUUAGCCUUUUGCUCUAGCACAUAUACCUAGAGUGGAAGUCAAACCAUACUCGACUAGUCCUAACCUAUAUACUUAGGGUUUUGUCAGUCUUUUGCUCUAGCACAGAUACCUAGAGUGGAAGUCAAAUCAUGCUCGACUAGUCCUAACCUAUAUACUUAGGGUCUAGUCAGCCUUUUGCUCUAGCACAUAUACCUAGAGUGAAAGUCAAUCCGUGCUCGACUAGUCCUAACCCAUAUACUUAGCCUCCGUUUGGUUCGGGGUUAAAUAAAAAGUAGCUAUUCCAGGGAUAGAGUUAAGUUCAGGGUUAAAGUGGGGUUAAAGUUUUUUUGUGUUUGGUUGGGGUUGGAGUUAGUCUAGAAUAAUGAAAAAUAGUGUUUGGUUGGAGUAGGUGGGAUAAGAAGAUAAUGAUUGAUAAAAAAGGAUAAUGAUUGGUUGGAGUAGGUGUGAUAAGAAUGAUAGUGGGUUAUUAUGAAUAGAAAAUAGUAUUUGGUUAGAGUUUGGUAGGGUUAGGUGGGGUUAGCUAACCCGGGAUAAUUUAUUUGAGGUGGGGUUAGCUAACCCCACCUAUUUUUUGAGGUGUUUGGGGAUAAAAUGGGGGUUAAGGGGUUAUUCCACCCCUCAACCCCCAACCAAACAAUAGCUUAGGGUUUAAUCAGCCUUUUGCUCUAGCACAUAUACCUAGAGUGAAAUCCAUACCCGAUCGAGCUCUAAUACAUAUACUUGGAGCUUAUACGAAUCAAAUCCGACAAACCCUAAUGCAAUACCUUAGAGCUUAGUCAGAUCUUCACUCUAGCACAUAUAACUAGAGUGAAAACAUAUUAAACUCGGUUAAUCCUGAUCUAUACACUCAGGAAUUAGCCACUCUCUACUUUCGGGUAAUAUCAAAUCUGAUCUACCUCAAUAUAUAUACUUGGGGUUUGGUCACAUCUCCACCUUAGAAUAUACAACUAAGGUGAACCCGACCGCCAUGUCAUUAAACUGAGCACCAAACUUAAACCGACCGCCAUGUCUUAUAAAAUUCAUGUACAGUGGGGGUAUGCCCCUGCUUAAGCCAUGUACACGGCAAAUCAUAUUAAUAAAAUUUUAUUUUCCUGUUUUGUCUCCUUUAUUAUCAGCAUUUAUAAUUGAUCUCUUAAUCGAGGGUUCCUUAACACCGAAAGUGUGGGAUAAUUAAUAGCAGAUUCUUGAGUCUGUUGGACGUUAUGAACGUAUAAUCCUGAUUUCAAAAUAAAACUUAAGUAAACUCAACCUCUACCAUGAAUGACCACUCGCCUUAGAAACAACCUACGGCGGGGCCGGUUCGUUCGCGGUAGACACUUUUAUAACUGAAAUAGGAGUGGUUCUUCGGCAGUACACAAUAUUGUCAAAUAAAAGAUGGAAGGAGGUGCCAAAUCAUAUAAAGCAAAAGAUGUUUGAUGAUUUACAUGUAUGUAAAACUAUCACAAGUUAAUACUAGUUGUGUCUUAUUCAAGUUUUUAUUAUACAAAUUCUAACUUUUUAUAACAUCAAAAUGUGAAACAAGAAAAGUUUGAUGGCAUACAAGGAGAAAAAGCGAAUGUGUUAGACCACCUCAAGAAGAUGUACAGAGAAUGGCGAUAUUGUCUGCAUCGAUAUUAUUUACGUUUUAAUAGUGAGGAGGAAAGGCUAAGUAAAGUUCUAGAAAAUGUCACAGAUAAUGAUUGGAGAUAUUUGGUCAAAUACUUUGGUUCGGAGGAGUUUUUGGUAGAUCUCAAAAUUUUAAUAUAAUUAGUAAAUUUUUUGCAAGUAUGUUAUACUUUUGAUUAGUGUAUGCUUCUUUUGUAGUAUCUAUCAGCUCGUAAUAAAAACAAUCGGGCCAAGCAAGGAAUUUCUACCAUCAAGGGUAGAACAUCAUUUGUUAGGAUUAGAUAUAAUAUGGUAUGAUUUGUUGCGUUUAUUAGUGUCACGCCCCGGGGUCCCCUUUUUGUUUGAAACACAGAGGAAAAGCGUUUAAAAUUUUUUUUUUUGAAAACCUGACCCCAGAGUAUGCCAGAUCCGCCACAAAUACAGGGAAUCCACUGUUCACACGGACAGAGUCUCCCCUGUAUUUGCACGGCGUCGCACAAGUACAAGAGUAUAGCCAGGAAACAACCACAACCAAAUGAAUAUAAAGAUAACUAUACAUUCAUACAUUCACCAUUCACAUCACAGAUUUACAUUCAGUGUUUAAAUAGAAAUCCACGAAAAUUCUUUUGAAAACUGUUCCCUACACGGAAACCUUUAUUCUUUAAGAAACGCUACCACGAGGGGUAGAAAACCUUUUAUUUCAAGAAAACACAAUUCCUUUAUUACAUUCCAAAACCAACUGAAAACUCAGAUAUUCAAAUAAUAAAACAAAACUGAACCAUGUAAACCGACUAAGCUAUAUAUAUCC